Molecule: ribosomal RNA, 439 nt
Filed under: uncultured bacterium
Lineage: Bacteria
Description: partial 16S ribosomal RNA
Rfam family: Bacterial small subunit ribosomal RNA
Source: RNAcentral
CCUACGGGAGGCAGCAGUGGGGAAUAUUGCACAAUGGGCGAAAGCCUGAUGCAGCAACGCCGCGUGAGCGAUGAAGGCUUUCGGGUCGUAAACCUCUGUUCUCAAGGACGAUAAUGAUGGUACUUGAGGAGGAAGCCCCGGCUAACACCGUGUCAGCAGCCGCGGAAAUAGGUAGGGGGCGAGCGUUAUCCGGAUUUACUGGGCGAAAGGGGGGCGGAGGUGGUUGCUUAGGUCGGAGGUGAAAGGCUCCGGCUCAACCGUAGUAAGCCUUUGAAACUGGGGAGCUUGAGUGCAGGAGAGGAGAGUGGAAUUCCUAGUGUAGCGGUGAAAUGCGUAGAUAUUAGGAGGAACACCAGUGGCGAAGGCGGCUCGCUGGACUGUAACUGACACUGAGGCGCGAAAGCGUGGGGAGCAAACAGGAUUAGAUACCCCUGUAGUC